GGCUCAGGAUGAACGCUAGCUACAGGCUUAACACAUGCAAGUCGAGGGGCAUCAGGAAGAAAGCUUGCUUUCUUUGCUGGCGACCGGCGCACGGGUGAGUAACACGUAUCCAACCUGCCCUUUACUCGGGGAUAGCCUUUCGAAAGAAAGAUUAAUACCCGAUAGCAUAAUGAUUCCGCAUGGUUUCAUUAUUAAAGGAUUCCGGUAAAGGAUGGGGAUGCGUUCCAUUAGGUUGUUGGUGAGGUAACGGCUCACCAAGCCUUCGAUGGAUAGGGGUUCUGAGAGGAAGGUCCCCCACAUUGGAACUGAGACACGGUCCAAACUCCUACGGGAGGCAGCAGUGAGGAAUAUUGGUCAAUGGGCGCUAGCCUGAACCAGCCAAGUAGCGUGAAGGAUGAAGGCUCUAUGGGUCGUAAACUUCUUUUAUAUAAGAAUAAAGUGCAGUAUGUAUACUGUUUUGUAUGUAUUAUAUGAAUAAGGAUCGGCUAACUCCGUGCCAGCAGCCGCGGUAAUACGGAGGAUCCGAGCGUUAUCCGGAUUUAUUGGGUUUAAAGGGAGCGUAGGUGGACUGGUAAGUCAGUUGUGAAAGUUUGCGGCUCAACCGUAAAAUUGCAGUUGAUACUGUCAGUCUUGAGUACAGUAGAGGUGGGCGGAAUUCGUGGUGUAGCGGUGAAAUGCUUAGAUAUCACGAAGAACUCCGAUUGCGAAGGCAGCUCACUGGACUGCAACUGACACUGAUGCUCGAAAGUGUGGGUAUCAAACAGGAUUAGAUACCCUGGUAGUUCACACAGUAAACGAUGAAUACUCGCUGUUUGCGAUAUACAGUAAGCGGCCAAGCGAAAGCAUUAAGUAUUCCACCUGGGGAGUACGCCGGCAACGGUGAAACUCAAAGGAAUUGACGGGGGCCCGCACAAGCGGAGGAACAUGUGGUUUAAUUCGAUGAUACGCGAGGAACCUUACCCGGGCUUAAAUUGCAGUGGAAUGAUGUGGAAACAUGUCAGUGAGCAAUCACCGCUGUGAAGGUGCUGCAUGGUUGUCGUCAGCUCGUGCCGUGAGGUGUCGGCUUAAGUGCCAUAACGAGCGCAACCCUUAUCUUUAGUUACUAACAGGUUAUGCUGAGGACUCUGGAGAGACUGCCGUCGUAAGAUGUGAGGAAGGUGGGGAUGACGUCAAAUCAGCACGGCCCUUACGUCCGGGGCUACACACGUGUUACAAUGGGGGGUACAGAAGGCAGCUAGCGGGUGACCGUAUGCUAAUCCCAAAAGCCUCUCUCAGUUCGGAUCGAAGUCUGCAACCCGACUUCGUGAAGCUGGAUUCGCUAGUAAUCGCGCAUCAGCCACGGCGCGGUGAAUACGUUCCCGGGCCUUGUACACACCGCCCGUCAAGCCAUGGGAGCCGGGGGUACCUGAAGUACGUAACCGCAAGGAUCGUCCUAGGGUAAAACUGG
Molecule: ribosomal RNA, 1447 nt
Filed under: uncultured organism
Description: SSU rRNA
Rfam family: Bacterial small subunit ribosomal RNA
Source: RNAcentral